GUCCUGACUGCAUGCACACGCUG
This 23-nucleotide non-coding RNA is filed under the name Cricetulus griseus (Chinese hamster). The record is from RNAcentral. Lineage: Eukaryota; Metazoa; Chordata; Mammalia; Rodentia; Cricetidae.